RNAcentral lists this ribosomal RNA (402 nucleotides) under uncultured bacterium. RNAcentral describes it as "bacterial SSU rRNA". It matches the Rfam family "Bacterial small subunit ribosomal RNA", at positions 360 to 754 of the family's 1533-position model. The record is from RNAcentral.
AAUAUUGCACAAUGGGCGCAGGCCUGAUGCAGCCAUGCCGCGUGUAUGAAGAAGGCGUUCGGGUCGUAAAGUACUUUCAGCGGGGAGGAAGGGAGUAAAGUUAAUACAUUUGCUCAUUGACGUUACCCGCAGAAGAAGCACCGGCUAACUCCGUGCCAGCAGCCGCGGUAAUACGGAGGGUGCAAGCGGUAAUCGGAAUUAGUGGGCGUAAAGCGCACGCAGGCGGUUUGUUAAGUCAGUUGUGAAAUCCCCGGGCUCAAUCCGGGAACUGCAUCUGAUACUGGCAAGCUUGAGUCGCGUCGAGGGGGGUAGAAUUUCAGGUGUAGCGGUGAAAUGCGUCGAGAUCUUGGGGAAUACCGGUGGCGAAGGCGGCCCCCUGGACGAAGUCUGACGCUCAGGUGC